RNAcentral lists this ribosomal RNA (418 nucleotides) under Oscillospira sp. E. RNAcentral's name for it is "bacterial SSU rRNA". It matches the Rfam family "Bacterial small subunit ribosomal RNA", at positions 65 to 487 of the family's 1533-position model. RNAcentral also lists the same sequence under 1 other name. The record is from RNAcentral. Lineage: Bacteria; Bacillati; Bacillota; Clostridia; Eubacteriales; Oscillospiraceae.
AAGGAGUUUUCGGACAACGGAAGGGGAUGCUUAGUGGCGGACUGGUGAGUAACGCGUGAGGAACCUGCCUUUCAGAGGGGGACAACAGUUGGAAACGACUGCUAAUACCGCAUAAUGUAUUGUGGCGGCAUCGUCAUGACACCAAAGGGUCCGUAAGGAUUCCGCUGAGAGAUGGUCUCGCGUCUGAUUAGAUAGUUGGCGGGGUAACGGCCCACCAAGUCGACGAUCAGUAGCCGGACUGAGAGGUUGGCCGGCCACAUUGGGACUGAGAUACGGCCCAGACUCCUACGGGAGGCAGCAGUGGGGAAUAUUGGGCAAUGGACGCAAGUCUGACCCAGCAACGCCGCGUGAAGGAAGAAGGCUUUCGGGUUGUAAACUUCUUUUAAGGGGGAAGAGGAGAAGACGGUACCCCUUGAAU